RNAcentral lists this ribosomal RNA (1514 nucleotides) under Lacticaseibacillus casei. Its description in RNAcentral is "bacterial SSU rRNA". It matches the Rfam family "Bacterial small subunit ribosomal RNA". The record is from RNAcentral. Lineage: Bacteria; Bacillati; Bacillota; Bacilli; Lactobacillales; Lactobacillaceae.
GGAUGAACGCUGGCGGCGUGCCUAAUACAUGCAAGUCGAACGAGUUCUCGUUGAUGAUCGGUGCUUGCACCGAGAUUCAACAUGGAACGAGUGGCGGACGGGUGAGUAACACGUGGGUAACCUGCCCUUAAGUGGGGGAUAACAUUUGGAAACAGAUGCUAAUACCGCAUAGAUCCAAGAACCGCAUGGUUCUUGGCUGAAAGAUGGCGUAAGCUAUCGCUUUUGGAUGGACCCGCGGCGUAUUAGCUAGUUGGUGAGGUAAUGGCUCACCAAGGCGAUGAUACGUAGCCGAACUGAGAGGUUGAUCGGCCACAUUGGGACUGAGACACGGCCCAAACUCCUACGGGAGGCAGCAGUAGGGAAUCUUCCACAAUGGACGCAAGUCUGAUGGAGCAACGCCGCGUGAGUGAAGAAGGCUUUCGGGUCGUAAAACUCUGUUGUUGGAGAAGAAUGGUCGGCAGAGUAACUGUUGUCGGCGUGACGGUAUCCAACCAGAAAGCCACGGCUAACUACGUGCCAGCAGCCGCGGUAAUACGUAGGUGGCAAGCGUUAUCCGGAUUUAUUGGGCGUAAAGCGAGCGCAGGCGGUUUUUUAAGUCUGAUGUGAAAGCCCUCGGCUUAACCGAGGAAGCGCAUCGGAAACUGGGAAACUUGAGUGCAGAAGAGGACAGUGGAACUCCAUGUGUAGCGGUGAAAUGCGUAGAUAUAUGGAAGAACACCAGUGGCGAAGGCGGCUGUCUGGUCUGUAACUGACGCUGAGGCUCGAAAGCAUGGGUAGCGAACAGGAUUAGAUACCCUGGUAGUCCAUGCCGUAAACGAUGAAUGCUAGGUGUUGGAGGGUUUCCGCCCUUCAGUGCCGCAGCUAACGCAUUAAGCAUUCCGCCUGGGGAGUACGACCGCAAGGUUGAAACUCAAAGGAAUUGACGGGGGCCCGCACAAGCGGUGGAGCAUGUGGUUUAAUUCGAAGCAACGCGAAGAACCUUACCAGGUCUUGACAUCUUUUGAUCACCUGAGAGAUCAGGUUUCCCCUUCGGGGGCAAAAUGACAGGUGGUGCAUGGUUGUCGUCAGCUCGUGUCGUGAGAUGUUGGGUUAAGUCCCGCAACGAGCGCAACCCUUAUGACUAGUUGCCAGCAUUUAGUUGGGCACUCUAGUAAGACUGCCGGUGACAAACCGGAGGAAGGUGGGGAUGACGUCAAAUCAUCAUGCCCCUUAUGACCUGGGCUACACACGUGCUACAAUGGAUGGUACAACGAGUUGCGAGACCGCGAGGUCAAGCUAAUCUCUUAAAGCCAUUCUCAGUUCGGACUGUAGGCUGCAACUCGCCUACACGAAGUCGGAAUCGCUAGUAAUCGCGGAUCAGCACGCCGCGGUGAAUACGUUCCCGGGCCUUGUACACACCGCCCGUCACACCAUGAGAGUUUGUAACACCCGAAGCCGGUGGCGUAACCCUUUUAGGGAGCGAGCCGUCUAAGGUGGGACAAAUGAUUAGGGUGAAGUCGUAACAGGUAGUCGUA